Molecule: ribosomal RNA, 450 nt
Filed under: uncultured bacterium
Lineage: Bacteria
Description: partial 16S ribosomal RNA
Rfam family: Bacterial small subunit ribosomal RNA
Source: RNAcentral
GUGGGGAAUUUUGGACAAUGGGGGCAACCCUGAUCCAGCCAUGCCGCGUGCGGGAAGAAGGCCUUCGGGUUGUAAACCGCUUUUGUCAGGGAAGAAAUCCUUUGGGUUAAUACCUCGGAGGGAUGACGGUACCUGAAGAAUAAGCACCGGCUAACUACGUGCCAGCAGCCGCGGUAAUACGUAGGGUGCGAGCGUUAAUCGGAAUUACUGGGCGUAAAGCGUGCGCAGGCGGUUUUGUAAGACAGGCGUGAAAUCCCCGGGCUCAACCUGGGAAUUGCGCUUGUGACUGCAAGGCUGGAGUGCGGCAGAGGGGGAUGGAAUUCCGCGUGUAGCAGUGAAAUGCGUAGAUAUGCGGAGGAACACCGAUGGCGAAGGCAAUCCCCUGGGCCUGCACUGACGCUCAUGCACGAAAGCGUGGGGAGCAAACAGGAUUAGAAACCCCAGUAGUCC